UUGAUGGUGAUGGCCAUGGCACGUAAGUGUGGUUUUUCAUUAGUUUAUUGAUUCUACUUGUUCCAGUUGUCAUAGUUGUGCACGUUUCCAAUUAUCUUUAUUACAAACUUAAUAGCAUUAUCUCUCUACUCUCUUGAGAAAGCAUGAUUAUAACUUUGGAAGUCAGUCUACUCAACUCAAAAUCUUUUUAAGACUGCUGUAAGUUUUCUGAUUCCCUAGCAGACAAGUUCCCUAGCUAGGAGACUAGUGAGA
Molecule: unclassified non-coding RNA, 252 nt
Filed under: Hevea brasiliensis (rubber tree)
Lineage: Eukaryota; Viridiplantae; Streptophyta; Magnoliopsida; Malpighiales; Euphorbiaceae
Source: RNAcentral